AAUGAAGUGCCUGAAAAAAAGGGUUAUCGUGAUAGGAUAAAUUAUGUAAUUUUAAAUUAUCUUCAUUA
Molecule: transfer RNA, 68 nt
Filed under: Episymploce sundaica
Lineage: Eukaryota; Metazoa; Arthropoda; Insecta; Blattodea; Blattellidae
Description: tRNA-Ile
Source: RNAcentral